RNAcentral lists this long non-coding RNA (2024 nucleotides) under Homo sapiens (human). RNAcentral describes it as "HSALNT0374452". Lineage: Eukaryota; Metazoa; Chordata; Mammalia; Primates; Hominidae. The record is from RNAcentral.
GUGCCAGGCUUGCUGGUGGUCAGGAACAGAUGAUUCCAGCCCUGUGCUGAUCGCCUGCCUUCCUCCUGCCAUUCAGAAUGCUGCUGUCUCGUGUACUUACUGUUAAGGAUCCUGGAAAAGGGAGUGGUUCCUCCUAGCUGCAAACAAGGGCGCUACUUUUCUUUUCUCUUUAAUAGAAUUACGUUUUAUAGGUGUGUCUAGGCAACACAAGGGAAUGUGAAAGACUUUCAGAGGGAAUGUUUGUGAAUACAUCUGGUGUGUACUAAAAAGCUGGAAAACCCCUAAGUAAAUGCAAUAUCGAUAGAAAGCGAGUUUCUUGAAGAGUCAUCUGCUAAACUCCACUAGAGUCAUCUCUACAGAUGCAACUGACUCACUUAAAAUAGCUGUGUGGAUAUAGAACUUUUAUCAACUACUAUUUACUAAAUUAUAUUGGUGUGUUUGUCCUCAUCUUAGAAUAGCAUAUCAAUAGAUGCUAUAAAAACAUAAGAGGGUGUGGUUAAGAGAAAAAAAAAUUGCCAUUAAGGAAUCAGCAAAUAGGAUGUCUGAAGUGAGGAUAUAGCACCUAUCUCUGAGAUUAAAGUCAUCUGAUCAAAAAUGAUGCCUCUGAGACUAUAACAAAGGAAUGAAUAAUGAAAUAUAAGAAUGGGGAUUCUGCACUAACUCUAUGGGGAAGAAAACAAUGUCUCUGUUCAUCAUGAGAAAUGCUCAGCGACUGCAGACAUAAAGAGAAAGCUUUCAAUUAAAGUUUCAAUGAUGGGAUAGGAACUGAGAAGUCUGUGGAGUUUUCUGCCUAGGAGUACCCUUGGAAAAGCCACUGCUAUGCCCAACCAGCACUGGGAAUCCCAGAUCACAUGCAAUCAUAGGAGUUGCCCUGGAGGCAGAAGCUCAGCACAUGUUCUGGUACAAGGAGAUUACAGUGUUGUGCAAAGCAAAGGGAUGAAUGAUGCCCAACUCUCUAACAUGGGCCUCGGUUUCCACAUCGAGGUUGGAAAUGAGCUAGGAAGCAGAUCCACCAUAAAUGGAGAAAGAAGAGAAACAAGUUGAGCUUUUAAUGACCCCGUAGCCUGACUCUUUGGUAUGGAAAUGGAAAGAGAUCCUCAUGGAAACAUAAAUAAAAUAUAUCACAUGUAACUUAUACCAAUAAUUAUUUUCUCCCCCAGUACCUCAAUUUUGCCCAGAUUGGACUCUAUUUUAUUUCCUUAUUUUUCCACAGUAAUUUACUUAAGUAAAACCAGGAUUUAUUUUAUUCAUCUCCAUGUCAGUUGCUAAGUCCAAGGGAUGUAUAUAGUUUAAAAAAUAUCACAAAGGAUGAUAUGGUGAAAUUGAACAACACAUUAUUACCUGAUGUACAGUCAUUGAUUUUGUAUACUAGCCUUUACCCCUGGCUACUGAUAAUUUUGGAUUUUGAAGAUUCAAAGACAGAGACUUGUAAAUACUUUAGUUUUUACACUUCUUUAUCAUACUCAUACCUGGGAUGGAAAAGUAUCAUUUAAUAUAUUAAGAACAUUGUUAUAGUACAUGUAUUUAAAUAACUCACAAGAGCAAGUAAUCUUACCUCAUGUCAUCUAUUUUUGAAAAAAUAUUUUGUGUAUUUCCACAUGCUUCUUCCAGAUGACCUUUAGCAAAACUUUGUGAAGUUUCAUUGUGGCUGUUGUCUUAGAAAGAUGGUCUUGUUAAUAAGGUCAGUGUUUUAGCCUUGCAAUAUAAGAUUAUGUGCAUUUGUUUAGAGGGAGACUUUAGGAUACAGCGAAGUGUUUUACAAAUGUUUACCAUUUUUAUUCUUAUUAGAUUUUUGAAAGUAUUUGGUUUAAAAUUUUCUUCUUUUUAUUCAACCAGCUCUUUAAAUUACCCAUCAAUUCUUGUUAAGAGUGUGUAUUGUAUAUCUCUCUAUACAUUUCAUGUAUUUUUGUAUGAAUUGUGCUAUUUUUAUAAUUUUUCUAUUUAGCCUCUGUAUCCAAUAUGAUUCAAUGUAUACAUGGAUGCCAUACGUAGGUACUGAUUAUUUCCUCUUUUAUUAUUAAUAA